RNAcentral lists this unclassified non-coding RNA (167 nucleotides) under soil metagenome. RNAcentral describes it as "partial internal transcribed spacer 1". The record is from RNAcentral.
CCGAGUUCCUAAGCUCAUCCAACCCUUGUGAACUUACCUAAAACAUUGCCCUCGGCGGGACUCAGACGCGCCCUGGCCUACAACGGGCCGCCGGCGCCGCCAGAGGAACCCUAACCUCUGAUUUUAUAAUCGUUUUCUCUGAGGUCGAAACCAAAGCAAAAUAAUCA